AUUGAACGCUGGCGGCAGGCCUAACACAUGCAAGUCGAGCGGCAGCGGAAAGUAGCUUGCUACUUUGCCGGCGAGCGGCGGACGGGUGAGUAAUGUCUGGGAAACUGCCUGAUGGAAGGGGAUAACUACUGGAAACGGUAGCUAAUACCGCAUAACGUCGCAAGACCAAAGAGGGGGACCUUCGGGCCUCUUGCCAUCAGAUGUGCCCAGAUGGGAUUAGCUAGUAGGUGGGGUAACGGCUCACCUAGGCGACGAUCCCUAGCUGGUCUGAGAGGAUGACCAGCCACAGUGGAACGGAGACACGGUCCAGACUCCUACGGGGGGCAGCAGUGGGGAAUAUUGCACAAUGGGCGCAAGCCUGAUUCAGCCAUGCCGCGUGUAUGAAGAAGGCCUUCGGGUUGUAAAGUACUUUCAGCGGGGAGGAAGGCGUUGAGGUUAAUAACCUCAGCGAUUGACGUUACCCGCAGAAGAAGCACCGGCUAACUCCGUGCCAGCAGCCGCCGUAA
Molecule: ribosomal RNA, 506 nt
Filed under: uncultured bacterium
Lineage: Bacteria
Description: partial 16S ribosomal RNA
Rfam family: Bacterial small subunit ribosomal RNA
Source: RNAcentral